AAAAAGUUAGUUAAAUUAUAACAUAAUUUUGUCAAAAUUAAAUUACUAAUCAUAAUAAUAGUACUUUUUA
Molecule: transfer RNA, 70 nt
Filed under: Bathypolypus sponsalis
Lineage: Eukaryota; Metazoa; Mollusca; Cephalopoda; Octopoda; Octopodidae
Description: tRNA-Asp
Source: RNAcentral